GAUGAACGCUAGCGGGAGGCCUAACACAUGCAAGCCGAGCGGUAGAGAUUCUUCGGAAUCUUGAGAGCGGCGUACGGUGCGGAACACGUGUGCAACCUACCUUUAUCUGGAGGAUAGCCUUUCGAAAGGAAGAUUAAUACUCCAUAAUAUAUUGAUUGGCAUCAAUUGAUAUUGAAAGCUCCGGCGGAUAGAGAUGGGCACGCGCAAGAUUAGUUAGUUGGUGAGGUAACGGCUCACCAAGACGAUGAUCUUUAGGGGGCCUGAGAGGGUGAUCCCCACACUGGUACUGAGACACGGACCAGACUCCUACGGGAGGCAGCAGUGAGGAAUAUUGGUCAAUGGGUGCAAGCCUGAACCAGCCAUCCCGCGUGAAGGACGACUGCCCUAUGGGUUGUAAACUUCUUUUGUAUAGGGAUAAACCUACCCUCGUGAGGGUAGCUGAAGGUACUAUACGAUAAGCACCGGCUAACUCCGUGCCAGCAGCCGCGGUAAU
This 493-nucleotide ribosomal RNA is filed under the name uncultured bacterium. RNAcentral describes it as "bacterial SSU rRNA". It matches the Rfam family "Bacterial small subunit ribosomal RNA", at positions 28 to 524 of the family's 1533-position model. The record is from RNAcentral.